ACUCUGUAGUAUCUUUGCCUGCAAUUCUAAACUUCUGAUUCUGGCAUUAACAGAUAAGUGGAAUUCAUCAAGUUCUAGCAGAACAGAAAGUGAUUGCCUGGAAAGGAGAAGGGGCAAGAGAGAACGGAAACCAAAAGUUCGCUUUGAUGAGGUGACUUAUCCAUUGCAGUCAGUGAGAAAGAUCCGCCGGUUCAGGAUAAUGCGGUUUCUUGGCCUUGCAGCUCCAAUUGGCUCUCCUUUUUUGCCGACUCACAAUGUAAGAAUUGCUUCUAGAUAGUGUAGAUUUUUCAAAUAUUUAUUUAUAAAUUUAAUAUAAAAGCAUUAAUAUGUUUCUAUUUCUAUAUGCUUUUGAGGAUUACUUAAAGAGUGUUAUUUGGUUAUUAAUUUUGUAAAGAAUAAACUAUUGUUGGAAUAAUUUAAGUACCUCUCUUUGUAAAAGGAUAUAUGUAAGUUUAUAUAUGUAACCAGGGUUUGGACUCUUCUGUUCUCUUUC
Molecule: non-coding RNA, 493 nt
Organism: Camellia sinensis
Lineage: Eukaryota; Viridiplantae; Streptophyta; Magnoliopsida; Ericales; Theaceae
Source: RefSeq, a predicted model, not a curated record